GAUGAAGAACGUAGCGAAAUGCGAUACGUAAUGUGAAUUGCAGAAUUCAGUGAAUCAUCGAGUCUUUGAACGCACAUUGCGCCCCCUGGUAUUCCGGGGGGCAUGCCUGUCCGAGCGUCAUUGCUGCCCUCAAGCACGGCUUGUGUGUUGGGCCUCCGUCCUCCUCCCGGGGGACGGGCCCGAAAGGCAGCGGCGGCACCUCGUCCGGUCCUCGAGCGUAUGGGGCUUCGUCACCCGCUCUUGUAGGCCCGGCCGGCGCUUGCCGACACAUCAAUCUUUUUUCCAGGUUGACCUCGGAUCAGGUAGGGAUACCCGCUGAACUUAAGCAUAUCAAUAAGCGGAGGA
This 345-nucleotide unclassified non-coding RNA is filed under the name soil metagenome. RNAcentral describes it as "partial contains 5.8S ribosomal RNA, internal transcribed spacer 2, and large subunit ribosomal RNA". The stretch from base 1 to 120 matches the Rfam family "5.8S ribosomal RNA", at positions 35 to 154 of the family's 154-position model. The record is from RNAcentral.